RNAcentral lists this long non-coding RNA (686 nucleotides) under Equus caballus (horse). RNAcentral describes it as "lncRNA (ENSECAG00000052876.1)". Lineage: Eukaryota; Metazoa; Chordata; Mammalia; Perissodactyla; Equidae. The record is from RNAcentral.
GAUGUGGCAUGCAAUAAGCCUGUUGACUGAAAUGUUAUAAAUGACAUGAUUUUUGCCAUCCUAGUCAGAAUCCUCUGCAUUUCAGUUUUGGGGUUUGCCUUCCAGCUCCCCGCCCCCCAACCCCAAGAAGGCAAGUGUCAAAUUAACAGCUCCAAAACUAAUAAACUGAGUGAGUUCAUGGGGAAAUUAUGGUCCUGAAGGAAGCGGGACUUGCUUCCUUCUUGCUGAAGCCAAAUCCUGAAGACUUGGAGCCCAGCGUCAAGAAAACCCUCUGAGUUCCUUCGCUCCAGGGCUCUCGCGGCCCUGUCGUCUUCCGCGUGCAAUCGCAGGGCCCACCGGAGGCCUGGGCCUACAGCUUGGAGAAGAAGCCUCCGGAAUUCUUUCAAGAGAAGCAUAAAUCCAAGUUCAAGUCUUGGAAACUCAGCAAGGAAUGAUGAAAAAUAAAGUUUCCCUGAUUAGACGAGACCCGCAGAUGACUGGAAGUAGAAUCUGAAACUGUUCUCUGUGUUGCUCAAGAAGUCGCUGUCCCGCCCUUCAGAGUGCCAUGUCUCCACCCCGCCUCGACUCAGUGACAGAAAGAACUGCUGUAGAAUCUCCGCCCCCGAAUAUGUCUAAUCUGGACACUCCUCUCCACCUCCCGUGCCGCCUUCCUGGUCCAGGCCACCAGCAUCCCUUCCGUGGAUCAC